CUGGCUCAGAUUGAACGCUGGCGGCAGGCUUAACACAUGCAAGUCGAGCGGGGGAAGGUAGCUUGCUACUGGACCUAGCGGCGGACGGGUGAGUAAUGCUUAGGAAUCUGCCUAUUAGUGGGGGACAACAUCUCGAAAGGGAUGCUAAUACCGCAUACGUCCUACGGGAGAAAGCAGGGGAUCUUCGGACCUUGCGCUAAUAGAUGAGCCUAAGUCGGAUUAGCUAGUUGGUGGGGUAAAGGCCUACCAAGGCGACGAUCUGUAGCGGGUCUGAGAGGAUGAUCCGCCACACUGGGACUGAGACACGGCCCAGACUCCUACGGGAGGCAGCAGUGGGGAAUAUUGGACAAUGGGGGGAACCCUGAUCCAGCCAUGCCGCGUGUGUGAAGAAGGCCUUAUGGUUGUAAAGCACUUUAAGCGAGGAGGAGGCUACUUUAGUUAAUACCUAGAGAUAGUGGACGUUACUCGCAGAAUAAGCACCGGCUAACUCUGUGCCAGCAGCCGCGGUAAUACAGAGGGUGCGAGCGUUAAUCGGAUUUACUGGGCGUAAAGCGUGCGUAGGCGGCUUAUUAAGUCGGAUGUGAAAUCCCCGAGCUUAACUUGGGAAUUGCAUUCGAUACUGGUGAGCUAGAGUAUGGGAGAGGAUGGUAGAAUUCCAGGUGUAGCGGUGAAAUGCGUAGAGAUCUGGAGGAAUACCGAUGGCGAAGGCAGCCAUCUGGCCUAAUACUGACGCUGAGGUACGAAAGCAUGGGGAGCAAACAGGAUUAGAUACCCUGGUAGUCCAUGCCGUAAACGAUGUCUACUAGCCGUUGGGGCCUUUGAGGCUUUAGUGGCGCAGCUAACGCGAUAAGUAGACCGCCUGGGGAGUACGGUCGCAAGACUAAAACUCAAAUGAAUUGACGGGGGCCCGCACAAGCGGUGGAGCAUGUGGUUUAAUUCGAUGCAACGCGAAGAACCUUACCUGGCCUUGACAUACUAGAAACUAACCAGAGAUGGAUUGGUGCCUUCGGGAAUCUAGAUACAGGUGCUGCAUGGC
RNAcentral lists this ribosomal RNA (1036 nucleotides) under Acinetobacter baumannii. RNAcentral describes it as "bacterial SSU rRNA". It matches the Rfam family "Bacterial small subunit ribosomal RNA", at positions 19 to 1049 of the family's 1533-position model. Lineage: Bacteria; Pseudomonadati; Pseudomonadota; Gammaproteobacteria; Moraxellales; Moraxellaceae. The record is from RNAcentral.